UCCGGCGAUUAUAGCCGAGGGGAAACACCUCUUCCCAUUCCGAACAGAGAAGUUAAGCCCUCGAACGCCGAUGGUACUUCGCUUUUAAGCGUGGGAGAGUAGGUAGUUGCCGGGA
This 115-nucleotide ribosomal RNA is filed under the name Ignavibacteriales bacterium. The record is from RNAcentral. Lineage: Bacteria; Pseudomonadati; Ignavibacteriota; Ignavibacteria; Ignavibacteriales.